This 511-nucleotide ribosomal RNA is filed under the name uncultured bacterium. RNAcentral's name for it is "bacterial SSU rRNA". It matches the Rfam family "Bacterial small subunit ribosomal RNA", at positions 28 to 531 of the family's 1533-position model. The record is from RNAcentral.
GAUGAACGCUAGCGGGAGGCUUAACACAUGCAAGUCGAGGGGCAGCAUAGGGUAGCAAUACUCUGAUGGCGACCGGCAAACGGGUGAGUAACGCGUAUGCAACCUACCCUGUACAGGGGGAUAACCCGGAGAAAUUCGGACUAAUAUCCCGUAAUAAUAUCCGGAGGCAUCUUUGGAUAUUUAAAGUUCCGACGGUACGGGAUGGGCAUGCGUAACAUUAGCUGGUUGGUAAGGUAACGGCUUACCAAGGCUAUGAUGUUUAGGGGUCCUGAGAGGGUGGUCCCCCACACUGGUACUGAGACACGGACCAGACUCCUACGGGAGGCAGCAGUGAGGAAUAUUGGUCAAUGGGCGCAAGCCUGAACCAGCCAUCCCGCGUGCAGGAAGACGGCCCUAUGGGUUGUAAACUGCUUUUCCAGGGAGAGAAACUUACGCACGUGUUGCGUGACUGACGGUACCCUGGGAAUAAGCAUCGGCUAACUCCGUGCCAGCAGCCGCGGUAAUACGUCUA